AACGAACGCUGGCGGCGCGUCUUAAGCAUGCAAGUCGAACGGCAAGAUUGGUGCUUGCACCGAUCCUAGAGUGGCGGACUGGUGAGUAACGCGUGGGUGACGUACCCUAAGGAUGGGGAUAGCUGGUAGAAAUAUCAGGUAAUACCGAAUAUCCUUAUUGUUGUUAGAGGACAGUAAGGAAAGGAGCUUUGGCUUCGCCUAAGGAUCGGCCCGCGUACUAUUAGCUAGUUGGUGAGGUAACGGCUCACCAAGGCGACGAUAGUUAUCCGGACUGAGAGGUCGAACGGCCACAUUGGGACUGAGACACGGCCCAGACUCCUACGGGAGGCAGCAGUGGGGGAUAUUGCACAAUGGAGGAAACUCUGAUGCAGCAACGCCGCGUGAGGGAAGAAGGAUUUCGGUUUGUAAACCUCUGUCAUUGGUGACGAUAAUGACGGUAGCCGAUGAGGAAGCUCCGGCUAACUACGUG
This 469-nucleotide ribosomal RNA is filed under the name uncultured bacterium. RNAcentral's name for it is "bacterial SSU rRNA". It matches the Rfam family "Bacterial small subunit ribosomal RNA", at positions 29 to 507 of the family's 1533-position model. The record is from RNAcentral.